This 253-nucleotide ribosomal RNA is filed under the name uncultured bacterium. RNAcentral describes it as "partial 16S ribosomal RNA". It matches the Rfam family "Bacterial small subunit ribosomal RNA", at positions 524 to 776 of the family's 1533-position model. The record is from RNAcentral.
GACAGAGGUGGCAAGCGUUGCUCGGAGUUACUGGGCAUAAAGGGCGCGUAGGCGGUCACGCACGUCGGAGGUGAAAUCCCCGGGCUCAACCCGGGAACGGCCUUCGAUACGGCGCGGCUAGAGUGCGGGAGGGGAGAGUGGAACUCCUGGUGGAGCGGUGAAAUGCGUAGAUAUCAGGAGGAACGCCGGUGGCGAAAGCGACUCUCUGGUCCGCAACUGACGCUGAGGCGCGAAAGCUAGGGGAGCAAACGGG